AGCCACUCCAGAAAAGUACGAUCAGCACUAUGAAGAAACUGCAUCAACUAACUGGAAAAACAAACAGCUAGCAUCAAAAUGGAAGCAUCAAAUUCACACGUAACGAUAUUAACCUUUAAUGUAAAUGUGUUAAAUGGCCCAAUUAAAAGACACAGAGUGGCAAGUUGGAUAAAGAGUCAAGGCCCAUCAGUGUGCUGUAUUCAAGAGACCCAUCUCAC
Cebus imitator (Panamanian white-faced capuchin) is the source of this 218-nucleotide long non-coding RNA. RefSeq lists it as uncharacterized. The record is from RefSeq and is a predicted model, not a curated record. The transcript is spliced from 3 exons. NCBI's taxonomy places the organism in Eukaryota, Metazoa, Chordata, Mammalia, Primates, Cebidae.